GCCUGAGAGACGGUCUCCCGCUCGUCUGGGCUCACCUCCGCUUGACUCCGUGGGGAGCACGCAUACACGUGGCGGCGCCGCGUUGACUGAAACCUGCUUCGGUGUGUCGCUGCGUGUUUGUGUGACCCCUGCGCACGGCUGUUCCGCUGCUCCAGUUAGCCGUGAAGCUGAUCUGUAUCUGCACUACCCGGGGUCAGAGGUCAGGGGUGAGGGGGUCAAUGUUCCUCACCUCGUGCAUGGCUCCGAACAGCUCCCAGUCGUAGUCGGUGAGCUGACUGGCGAUGUCUUUGGAGCUCAUCUGUUCCAAAGUGUGAAUGCUGCCCUGAUCUGGGCCCUGCUGCUCCUGCAAGGGUGUCUGGGUACAGAGGAACACGUUCUGUGUUAUUCGCCUGCCCCUCUACCUGCCUAUCACACCUCAAACCCCACCCCUCUACCUGCCUAUCACACCUCAAACCCCACCCCUCUACCUGUCUGUCACACCUUAAGCCCUGCCGUCACCACAAACUCCACCUUCCGUCUGUAUAUCACACUUUCAUCCUCAAAACUCACCCCUUCCUUUGUAUAUCUUCACCAUUAUCCAGCAACCCUGUGCUUCUGUCACUUCUGUCACACCUUAAUCCUCAAAACCCUGCCCCUCUGUAUAUCACACCUUUAUUAUGAAACCCCACCCAUCCAUAUGGCUGUCAUUCCUUUAUUUUGCAACCCCGCCCAUAUGGAACGCUGUACUCAUCCUGCCUAUAUGUGUUCUUUUUUAAUUUUAGCGCUCUGCUUCUGGCCAGGGGUGCCUGGGGCCAUAGCACAGUAUGUGCCAGCGCAUUAGACGCUGAGUGAUUGGUUAUGCACCUUGUGCUUCAGAAAAAUAAACAACCACUGAGGCUAAUGGCUGAAAAGCGUUUCAGUAAAGAAAUGACGCUCCAAUUGAUCUGUACGGUACGGCUGUGGCUAAUCCUUCAUGCUGCCUCCGUGUCUUGUGUUUGCCUGUUUUCCCAACCUCUUGGCUGGCCUGUUAUUGAGAAAAGGGUUACAUAAAAACAAGAAAUGC
Molecule: long non-coding RNA, 1042 nt
Organism: Anguilla rostrata (American eel)
Lineage: Eukaryota; Metazoa; Chordata; Actinopteri; Anguilliformes; Anguillidae
Exons: 3
Source: RefSeq, a predicted model, not a curated record